UACGUAGGGAGCAAGCGUUGUCCGGAAUCAUUGGGCGUAAAGCGCGUGUAGGCGGUCCGGUAAGUCGGCUGUGAAAGUCCAGGGCUCAACCCUGGGAUGCCGGUCGAUACUGCCGGACUAGAGUUCGGAAGAGGCGAGUGGAAUUCCCGGUGUAGCGGUGAAAUGCGCAGAUAUCGGGAGGAACACCAAUGGCGAAGGCAGCUCGCUGGGACGUUACUGACGCUGAGACGCGAAAGCGUGGGGAGCAAACAGG
This 253-nucleotide ribosomal RNA is filed under the name uncultured bacterium. Its description in RNAcentral is "partial 16S ribosomal RNA". It matches the Rfam family "Bacterial small subunit ribosomal RNA", at positions 524 to 776 of the family's 1533-position model. The record is from RNAcentral.